UAGAGUUUGAUCCUGGCUCAGAACGAACGCUGGCGGCGUGGAUAAGACAUGCAAGUCGGACGGGACUAUUUCUAGUAGCAAUACCGGGAAUAGUUUAGUGGCGAACGGGUGCUUAACACGUGGGCAACCUGCCAGGAAGUGGGGGAUAGCUCGCCGAAAGGCGAAUUAAUACCGCAUGUGAUUAGAGAGGACAUCCUUUCGAAAUUAAAGUCGGGGCAACCUGACGCUUCUUGUGGGGCCCGCGGCCUAUCAGCUAGUUGGUGAGGUUACGGCUCACCAAGGCUUUGACGGGUAGCUGGUCUGAGAGGACGACCAGCCACACUGGGACUGAGACACGGCCCAGACACCUACGGGUGGCAGCAGUCGAGAAUUUUUGACAAUGGGGGAAACCCUGAUCGAGCGACGCCGCGUGGAGGAUGAAGGUCUUCGG
RNAcentral lists this ribosomal RNA (430 nucleotides) under uncultured Verrucomicrobiota bacterium. RNAcentral's name for it is "bacterial SSU rRNA". It matches the Rfam family "Bacterial small subunit ribosomal RNA", at positions 1 to 421 of the family's 1533-position model. The record is from RNAcentral. Lineage: Bacteria; Pseudomonadati; Verrucomicrobiota.